Heterocephalus glaber (naked mole-rat) is the source of this 1659-nucleotide non-coding RNA. NCBI's taxonomy places the organism in Eukaryota, Metazoa, Chordata, Mammalia, Rodentia, Bathyergidae. The record is from RefSeq and is a predicted model, not a curated record.
UCUUGGGAAGCGGUCUUUUUGGAAGGCGAUGAGCAAGGCGGGUGUGGACAUGGGAGUGGAAGAGAGCGAGAGCACAGGUCUCCAAGGGGGCAGCUAGCUUUCCAGACAGGCCGGGGAGAAGCCGAGGGAGUCAUCUAAGGAGCCUCUCCAGGAAGAGAGAUAAACCUCUUCGGCUAUCUCUGUCAAGGCAGUCUUCUCCUUCUCCAUCGUUCUUCCUCCUUUCUCCCUCCGCUCCCCAGUCCUCUCUUCUCCCCGUUCCUCUCUGUCUUUCUCUCUCCCUUCCCUUUGGUCCCCUGACCUCCCUUCUUUUCCACCCCUCUUCCUUCUACUCAGUGGUAAUAGUCGAUAUCAGCUUUGGAUUUCUUCUCUGAAAAACAGCUAAUUUUUAUUUUUCCUCUCGACAUGGGGUCUGUUUUUACUUGUCAUUAAUACUAACUCCUUUGGAAGUUUAGAGCUAGAUUUAGUGGAUGACUGUGGGCGUCAGCUGAAGAUAGUAUUUUAAGAAACACACCAUCUGGGAAUAGCAGUUUUUGAAGCUUCAUUGAAGUUUGCAUGGCCAUGUGACAGCUCUGACCAGUGUGUGCUAGUCCCAUUGUAUUCACUUGCUAUUUCUUCCAGCCCAGAAAAUGGCUAUGAGAGCAUCUGUCUUUCCACAUGUGAUAACAGGCAUGAAGGUAAAAGUCAACACACUGAGAAUGAGGAAAUAAAAUUGGUGAAAAGAGUUGAGAUCCUCCAUGUCUUCAUUAGGCUGCUAUAUUAUCCUUGGACUUCUAGAGGAGAGACCAAUAACCCUUUCCUGUUUAAGUCCCUGUCAUUACCUGUCAGAUUGUUCACAAUGAACCUUUUCUUACAGUCAAAGAGCCAGAACCAGAGCGAAAUGGAUUAGAUGCAGCACGCAGAGGUGCAGGCAGAGCAGAGAGGAGAGAAUGAUGUCAGCACAGACACUGUCAGAUGCCAGGAUAUCCAAAAACUGCUCCACCAGCUGAAAAACUACAAUCAAUUUACAGUACAAAAGCAGAGAACAAUUUUUAAAAAGAAAGUUGGUGAUCAUGGUACCUGAUGACACUGGAAUGACCUCUUUUGAGGGACUAUCUCUUAAAGAGAAGCUACAACUCUUCAUGCCCUGGCUCACUCCCCAUGGUCUUCAAUCAUAUAGUAGAGUCGUAUUUCAGCACAUUUUAGCCUUUGCUACUUAAUACCAGCAAUAACAACGGGUUGCCUGUAUGAAAUUCACUUUAAGGAUGCACAUAAUUUUAGUUUGGACUGAGUGUAUUGAUGCGGCUACACUCAUUAGAAAUUCUUAUUUCUAUAAUCAAUAUUCUGGUUCAGAUAGCUGAAAGAGUUUCUGAUUGUUCUGUUUAUUGAUUUAAGCAUAGACUCCACUGUGGCUUAUGUGAGAAUGGAUCUUGGACAGUAUAUGAAUUCUCUUUCAGUACUGGCACUUUUCUACUUUCUCAAUUUCUCAGACAAACACAUUUGAUCCUGACAGCCGGCAGAAACCUAUUACUUAAAUUCUGUCAUUGAAAAGCAUCUGUCCAGGCUGGGGAUUUAGCUCAGUGGUUUCGCCGCCUGCUGCGCAAGCGCAAGGACCCAAGUUCGAUCCCCAGUACCAAAAAAAAAAAAAAAAGAAGAAGAAAAGCAUCUGUCCUAGAACUUGAA